AACGAACGCUGGCGGCAUGCCUAGCACAUGCAAGUCGAACGAGACCUUCGGGUCUGGUGGCGCAUGGGUGGGUGACCGGGGGGGACAUGCCCUUAGGUUUGGCAUAACUCGCCGAAAGAGGUGCUAAUACCGGCUCAUGUCUUCGGACCAAAGAUUGAUCGCCUUUGGAUGGGCUCGCGAUGUCUUAGUUUGUUGUUAGGGUAAAUGCCUCUAAGGGGGUCGAUCCAUAACUGGGUUGUGAGGCUGAUCACCCACACUGGGACUAGGACACGGCCCAGAAUCCUGCGGGAGGCAGGAGUGGGGAAUAUUGGACAACGGGGGAUAGGCUGAUGGAGCAAUGCCGCGUGAGUGAUUAAGGUCGUAGGGUUGUAAAGCUCGUUUACCCGUGAUGAUAAUGACGGUACCGGGAGAAUAAGCUCCGGCUAACUCCGUG
RNAcentral lists this ribosomal RNA (433 nucleotides) under uncultured bacterium. Its description in RNAcentral is "partial 16S ribosomal RNA". It matches the Rfam family "Bacterial small subunit ribosomal RNA", at positions 29 to 507 of the family's 1533-position model. The record is from RNAcentral.